UAAGAGGCCCCGCCUGCCCUGUGACUAUAUGUUUAACGGCCGCGGUAUUAUGACCGUGCAAAGGUAGCGCAAUCACUUGUCUUUUAAAUGAGGACCUGUAUGAACGGCGAAACGAGGGCUUAACUGUCUCCUUUUCCAGGUCAAUGAAAUUGAUCCCCCCGUGCAGAAGCGGGGAUAUACACAUAAGACGAGAAGACCCUGUGGAGCUUUAGACACUAGAGCAGCCCCCCAUUAAGUACCCCUUUAAAAGAAACAAUCAUAAAACCCCUGCUCCAAUGUCUUCGGUUGGGGCGACCAUGGAGUAAGAAAAACCCUCCACGUGGAAUGACAGUACUACUCACCAAAAACCAAGGGCUACCGCCCUAAUUAUCAGAACCUCUGACCUUACAGAUCCGGCAAAGCCGAAAAACGGACCAAGUUACCCCAGGGAUAACAGCGCAAUCUCCUUCCAGAGGCCAUAUCGAAAAGGAGGUUUACGACCUCGAUGUUGGAUCAGGACAUCCUAAUGGUGCAGCCGCUAUUAAGGGUUCGUUUGUUCAACG
RNAcentral lists this ribosomal RNA (542 nucleotides) under Fowlerichthys avalonis (roughbar frogfish). RNAcentral's name for it is "partial 16S ribosomal RNA". It matches the Rfam family "Bacterial large subunit ribosomal RNA", at positions 1846 to 2586 of the family's 2925-position model. Lineage: Eukaryota; Metazoa; Chordata; Actinopteri; Lophiiformes; Antennariidae. The record is from RNAcentral.